GGACUGUCCGAAAGCCGCUCACUUCAAAAUGUGCGAGUUCCCCCGUUUGUCCUCUUAAGGGCCGGCCAUGCCAAGCUCAACUGGGACGAACCUGCGGGUAGGGCCACCGGAUGACCCCCCUGGGUAGCUCCCUGGUGUGCCUCAGUACUACCGAUGUCACAAGCUGUGUGUGUUGUUACGAGCACCUGACCGAUAAACGCAGCCUGGUCUGAUCCAACUCAGUGACACAGACCUGCAGAGCGCUUGUGGGGGGCGGGGGGGGGGUCCUCAGUCCAAAAUUAAUUGCCUUGUUUGGCAGAGUCCUAAUGUACAACAGUUUUUCCCCAAAAUCAAGCCUUGCUGCCCAGCCACUCACUCUGCCAAUAUUUUCAACUUCAUCACCAACUGCUCUGUAACUCCAGUCCUCUACUCUAGCCUUCCACGGCUUCUAUCAAAUAGCCUCCAGGCAGGAAGUUGCAUCUUUGAAGACUAAAAUCCACAUUAUAUGAAAGCAGUGGCAUUGCCAGUCUUGCUGAGAGCUUUGUCACCUGUGCCUGGAGAAGUUUGUACUACACCCUAGGCUCUCAGGAUUGUUGCAUGAAUGAACACUGGAGAAGGAAGCUCAAGACCUAGGAGCAAAUAUCCCACCAUGAUGAUAUCCCACCUGUGACCCCAGUAUGGGGAUACAGAGGCAGAGAGUUCCUGAGGCUUGCUGACUGGCUCCUCUCAUAGCACCGGUGAGCGGUCAGUGAAUUAGUGAACUGCACAUGAGGAAGACGCCCAAUAUCGACCUCUUGCCUGCGUACACACACACACAUACACACACACACACACACACACACACAUAAUAAUAAUAAUAAUAAUAGUAACCAGAAGAAAAUACUAACUCAAAAAGCAUUCUUUGGGCUGGGGAGGCUGCUUGG
This is a long non-coding RNA of Jaculus jaculus (lesser Egyptian jerboa), 902 nucleotides long. RefSeq lists it as uncharacterized. NCBI's taxonomy places the organism in Eukaryota, Metazoa, Chordata, Mammalia, Rodentia, Dipodidae. The record is from RefSeq and is a predicted model, not a curated record. The transcript has 4 exons.